ACUCACGUAAUGGCUGUUAACAUUACCCAUUUGGCGCCAGAGAGCAGCAAACGCACAUUUUUCAAAGGGAUUCACUUUAGUUCUUGUUCCCCCUUUUAUUACCGCACUGAUAAGUUUAAGUUAAAAAAUACACUUAAAGUGGGUCCGUAACGUUAAACCUUUCUACAUGCCGAGAAACCCGGGAAGGUCAGGCUACAAGCUAUUAACGUUAGCUAACAGCUAGCGUUAGCUAGUCACUUUACAUCGGUUAGGUUCGAAUGUUCGUGGCCACAAACUCACGAGAAAGUCAAACAAGAAAAGCAUCUGAUGCAUCACGCAUUUAUAUUGAUAGCAUCAACACUAGUUAGAUAAUUAUUUUCACUUAAAUGAGUCUACUAAUGUUAACCUAGCCUUAAUGGUGUAGGCAACAUUAAGCUAACGUUAGCAGCUAUAAGCCUCAGUUAACAUUUUAUUGAGACAGCAGACAGCCAACUACUUUUCUUGGUGGCAACUAAAUCCUGUUAAAGUGAAAAUAUGUAUUAUGAAUUUAAAACGUUUACUUACUGAAAACGUAGAGCCUUGGAUACGCAGACAGCCAGGAGAUAGAGCAAAUCCGCGUCCUCCAGGGGCGGUUUGUGGUCGCACAUGCGCAGAUGUGGAAGUUGAAUGUGGGUUUAAAAUGUACACGUGUUUUUCAUGUAACCUAUAAAUGACGGAAAUGAGCUUUUCGUAAACCAUGGAAGAAUGUGUUAAGCUUAAUUAAAAAAGCUAAUUCAAUAACACGUUCAAAUCAGUGAAAUGACCUUGCAUAAAUCAAGUAAUAUUUAAAAGCGGUCCGAAUCGUUUUUCUCCAGGAGCCAGUGGAAGGUUCUGCCCUGGUAGCGACCCAACUGCACCUUCCACCGGCUCAGGACCAGGGCGGCGCUGGUGGUGCCACCGCCCUCGGAGACGUUUUUUAUGCUUGUUAUUCCACAUAAAUGACAAAUGACACAAUUCUACUGGACUGUUGAAUGACACAUGAAUAAAACACGCUGCUGUUCGUUGUAAUAAAGUAACGUUAUGACUUGGUAAUAACUGGUGUUGUCAACACGUGACGCAUCACCGAUGCUAUAAAGUCACGUAAGCUCCGUCACCAAUAAACCACGCAAACGUCCGCAGAAACACGGAGAGACGUGACCGUUAGCUCCCACACGCGUUCCAUUCAGCGUAUUAAAUACAGUUAGUAAUAAUAACCAUAACUCGUGGCUAAAGUUACGCGUGUGACGUCACGGCCGCCGCUGGCAUCGAUCGGCAACAGGCAAUCUUGCAGCUCAAGGCAAGGCGGAGGUCACCGGUAAUGUGGGCAUACCCACGAUCUGACCACUGGUGGGACACAACAACAACAAGCAGUGCACGAUCGGUUGUGGAGAUGUCGUUUGGGAGAUUGAAAGGACGAUGGAGGUGCCUCCUAAAAAGAGCUGCAUUAAUGAUGCAUUUUAACAGAGGGAACGAGUGAUUCUUUGAAUACACCAAAGCUAUAUUUGUUGCAAUACUUUUGUAACACUGCAGUUUGUGUUUAUUGAAAUCUACACUUUUAUAUUGUAUUACAUUCUCAUCCAUUAAAUGAACCAUGUAAUCUCUAAAACGUGCAUUUUGUGAAUCAUUUAUCAAUCAUCCUCAAUCAACAACCCUUUCACACUUCUGGCCCGGAUUAAAACCAACCAAGUUUUUAUUAACUUCCAAUCAUGAAGUAAUUUGGAUUUUAAUCAUAUUUCAUGUCGAAAUAAUAUAGAUUUGUAUAUGCAGCUAAUCGCAUCACUUGGCUGUUUAAUGUACACAUUUAUAUAAAAGUAAAUUGCAUUAAAAACAAACACAAACCAUAAGGCAAUAUUUGCCUGUUAAGUGUUUAAGAAAC
This is a long non-coding RNA of Gasterosteus aculeatus aculeatus (three-spined stickleback), 1873 nucleotides long. Lineage: Eukaryota; Metazoa; Chordata; Actinopteri; Perciformes; Gasterosteidae. The record is from Ensembl.